RNAcentral lists this transfer RNA (72 nucleotides) under Camelus ferus (Wild Bactrian camel). It matches the Rfam family "tRNA". Rfam says of the family: Transfer RNA (tRNA) molecules are approximately 80 nucleotides in length. The record is from Rfam by way of RNAcentral. Lineage: Eukaryota; Metazoa; Chordata; Mammalia; Artiodactyla; Camelidae.
GUGGGUAUAGCUCAGUGGUAGAGCACAUGCUUAGCGUGCACAAGGUCCUGGGUUCAAUCCCCACCACCUCCA